RNAcentral lists this ribosomal RNA (460 nucleotides) under bacterium Ellin202. RNAcentral describes it as "bacterial SSU rRNA". It matches the Rfam family "Bacterial small subunit ribosomal RNA", at positions 19 to 476 of the family's 1533-position model. The record is from RNAcentral. Lineage: Bacteria; Pseudomonadati; Bacteroidota; Sphingobacteriia; Sphingobacteriales; Sphingobacteriaceae.
AUGGCUCAGGAUGAACGCUAGCGGCAGGCCUAAUACAUGCAAGUCGGACGGGAUUGGGGAGCUUGCUCCCCAUGAGAGUGGCGCACGGGUGCGUAACACGUAUGUAACCUACCCAUAUCAGGGGGAUAGCCUCUCGAAAGAGAGAUUAAGCCCGCAUAACAUUAACUUAUGGCAUCAUAGGAUAAUCAAAUAUUUAUAGGAUAUGGAUGGGCAUGCGGAACAUUAGCUAGUUGGUAAGGUAACGGCUUACCAAGGCUACGAUGUUUAGGGGAUCUGAGAGGAUGACCCCCCACACUGGUACUGAGACACGGACCAGACUCCUACGGGAGGCAGCAGUAAGGAAUAUUGGUCAAUGGACGGAAGUCUGAACCAGCCAUGCCGCGUGCAGGAAGACGGCCCUACGGGUUGUAAACUGCUUUUGCAGGGGAAUAAACCUUCGUAUGUAUACGAAGCUGAAUGU